Molecule: ribosomal RNA, 624 nt
Filed under: uncultured bacterium
Lineage: Bacteria
Description: bacterial SSU rRNA
Rfam family: Bacterial small subunit ribosomal RNA
Source: RNAcentral
CAACCUGCCCUUUACUCGGGGAUAGCCUUUCGAAAGAAAGAUUAAUACCCGAUGGGAUAAUUAUUCCGCAUGGUUUGAUUAUUAAAGGAUUCCGGUAAAGGAUGGGGAUGCGUUCCAUUAGGUUGUUGGUGAGGUAACGGCUCACCAAGCCUUCGAUGGAUAGGGGUUCUGAGAAGAAGGUCCCUCACAUUGGAACUGAGACACGGUCCAAACUCCUACGGGAGGCAGCAGUGAGGAAUAUUGGUCAAUGGGCGCUAGCCUGAACCAGCCAAGUAGCGUGAAGGAUGAAGGCUCUAUGGGUCGUAAACUUCUUUUAUAUAAGAAUAAAGUGCAGUAUGUAUACUGUUUUGUAUGUAUUAUAUGGAUAAGGAUCGGCUAACUCCGUGCCAGCAGCCGCGGUAAUACGGAGGAUCCGAGCGUUAUCCGGAUUUAUUGGGUUUAAAGGGAGCGUAGGUGGACUGGUAAGUCAGUUGUGAAAGUUUGCGGCUCAACCGUAAAAUUGCAGUUGAUACUGUCAGUCUUGAGUACAGUAGAGGUGGGCGGAAUUCGUGGUGUAGCGGUGAAAUGCUUAGAUAUCACGAAGAACUCCGAUUGCGAAGGCAGCUCACUGGACUGCAACUGACA